This 433-nucleotide ribosomal RNA is filed under the name uncultured bacterium. RNAcentral describes it as "bacterial SSU rRNA". It matches the Rfam family "Bacterial small subunit ribosomal RNA", at positions 958 to 1392 of the family's 1533-position model. The record is from RNAcentral.
AACGCGAAGAACCUUACCAAGUCUUGACAUCCCCCUGAAGUGCCCGUAACGGGGCAUGUCCUUCGGGACAGGGGAGACAGGUGGUGCAUGGUUGUCGUCAGCUCGUGUCGUGAGAUGUUGGGUUAAGUCCCGCAACGAGCGCAACCCUUAUCCUUAGUAGCCAGCAGUAAGAUGGGGACUCUAGGGAGACUGCCGGGGAUAACCCGGAGGAAGGUGGGGAUGACGUCAAAUCAUCAUGCCCCUUAUGAUUUGGGCUACACACGUGCUACAAUGGCGUGAACAGAGGGAGGCGAAAUGGUGACAUGGAGCAAAUCCCAAAAACAACGUCCCAGUUCGGAUUGUAGUCUGCAACCCGACUACAUGAAGCUGGAAUCGCUAGUAAUCGCGGAUCAGAAUGCCGCGGUGAAUACGUUCCCGGGUCUUGUACACACCG